CCCUUAGAUGUUCUGGGCCGCACGCGCGCUACACUGAUUCAUGCAGCAAGUUUUGUCCUUGGCUGAUAGGCCUGGGUAAUCUUUGAACGUGAAUCGUGAUGGGGAUAGAUGAUUGCAAUUAUUCAUCUUCAACGAGGAAUUCCUAGUAAACGCAAGUCAUCAGCUUGCAUUGAUUACGUCCCUGCCCUUUGUACACACCGCCCGUCGCACCUACCGAUUGAAUGGUCCGGCGAAAUCUUCGGAUCUGAGAGAUGACUGAUUAAUUUCGGACGCCUUUUGGAAAAGUUGCUUAAACCUUACCAUUUAGAGGAAGGUGAANUCGUANCA
This 327-nucleotide ribosomal RNA is filed under the name uncultured eukaryote. RNAcentral describes it as "partial 18S ribosomal RNA". It matches the Rfam family "Eukaryotic small subunit ribosomal RNA", at positions 1470 to 1796 of the family's 1831-position model. The record is from RNAcentral.